UACGUUCCCGGGCCUUGUACACACCGCCCGUCACACCACGAAAGUCGGCAAUACCCGAAGCCGGUGGCCUAACCCGUAAGGGAGGGAGCCGUCGAAGGUAGGGUCGAUGAUUGGGGUG
Molecule: ribosomal RNA, 118 nt
Filed under: uncultured bacterium
Lineage: Bacteria
Description: partial 16S ribosomal RNA
Rfam family: Bacterial small subunit ribosomal RNA
Source: RNAcentral